CCCCGACAACUUACAGGGACAAGGAAUAUUGAUUGCCCCCACAUUGAUUGCCCCCACACAUCAAUACAAGACUUUCCAAUGUGUUUUGAAUGCAUUUGUUGAUAUGAGUAGCCAAAUCAAUUCCUUUAAGCUAUUCUUCAACUGUAUAGUCUCAUAUUUAUACAGUCUCUAGCCUGCCAGGAGCCGCUCUUUGUUUUUGUCUCUCGCAUUUCGUGUCUCUUGCACCAGCGAUCACUCCUCACCCUCGUCAGU
This 252-nucleotide long non-coding RNA is filed under the name Vigna radiata. Its description in RNAcentral is "long non-coding RNA (VRAD_LNC003496)". Lineage: Eukaryota; Viridiplantae; Streptophyta; Magnoliopsida; Fabales; Fabaceae. The record is from RNAcentral.